AGAGUUUGAUCCUGGCUCAGGACGAACGCUGGCGGCGCGCCUAACACAUGCAAGUCGAACGGUGAAGAGGAGCUUGCUCCUCGGAUCAGUGGCGGACGGGUGAGUAACACGUGAGCAACCUGCCUUUCAGUGGGGGACAACAGUUGGAAACGACUGCUAAUACCGCAUAACGUGCCGGAAGGGCAUCCUUCUGGCACCAAAGAUUUAUCGCUGAAAGAUGGGCUCGCGCCUGAUUAGAUAGUUGGUGAGGUAACGGCCCACCAAGUCGACGAUCAGUAGCCGGACUGAGAGGUUGAUCGGCCACAUUGGGACUGAGACACGGCCCAGACUCCUACGGGAGGCAGCAGUGGGGAAUAUUGGACAAUGGGGGAAACCCUUAUCCAGCGACGCCGCGUGAGGGAAGAAGGUUUUCGGAUUGUAAACCUCUGUCAGUGGGGACGAUAAUGACGGUACCCACGGAGGAAGCCACGGCUAACUACGUGCCAGCAGCCGCGGU
RNAcentral lists this ribosomal RNA (496 nucleotides) under uncultured Gram-positive bacterium. Its description in RNAcentral is "bacterial SSU rRNA". It matches the Rfam family "Bacterial small subunit ribosomal RNA", at positions 8 to 521 of the family's 1533-position model. The record is from RNAcentral.